UACGGAGGGGGCCAGCGUUGUUCGGAAUCAUUGGGCGUAAAGGGCGCGUAGGCGGCUUGGUAAGUUCGUUGUGAAAUCCCUCGGCUCAACCGAGGAACUGCGACGGAUACUGCUUGGCUUGAGUCCCGGAGAGGGUAGCGGAAUUCCCAGUGUAGCGGUGAAAUGCGUAGAUAUUGGGAGGAACAUCGGUGGCGAAGGCGGCUACCUGGACGGGUACUGACGCUGAUGCGCGAAAGCUAGGGGAGCAAACAGG
This 253-nucleotide ribosomal RNA is filed under the name uncultured bacterium. Its description in RNAcentral is "partial 16S ribosomal RNA". It matches the Rfam family "Bacterial small subunit ribosomal RNA", at positions 524 to 776 of the family's 1533-position model. The record is from RNAcentral.